GAUGAACGCUGGCGGCGUGCCUAAUACAUGCAAGUCGAGCGAACAGACGAGGAGCUUGCUCCUCUGACGUUAGCGGCGGACGGGUGAGUAACACGUGGAUAACCUACCUAUAAGACUGGGAUAACUUCGGGAAACCGGAGCUAAUACCGGAUAAUAUAUUGAACCGCAUGGUUCAAUAGUGAAAGACGGUUUUGCUGUCACUUAUAGCUGGAUCCGCGCCGCAUUAGCUAGUUGGUAAGGUAACGGCUUACCAAGGCGACGAUGCGUAGCCGACCUGAGAGGGUGAUAGGCCACACUGGAACUGAGACACGGUCCAGACUCCUACGGGAGGCAGCAGUAGGGAAUCUUCCGCAAUGGGCGAAAGCCUGACGGAGCAACGCCGCGUGAGUGAUGAAGGUCUUCGGAUCGUAAAACUCUGUUAUUAGGGAAGAACAAAUGUGUAAGUAACUAUGCACGUCUUGACGGUACCUAAUCAGAAAGCCACGGCUAACUACGUG
RNAcentral lists this ribosomal RNA (497 nucleotides) under uncultured bacterium. RNAcentral describes it as "partial 16S ribosomal RNA". It matches the Rfam family "Bacterial small subunit ribosomal RNA", at positions 28 to 507 of the family's 1533-position model. The record is from RNAcentral.